GCUUUAGUUCAGUAGUAGAGCACCUGCCUUGCAUGCAGAAGUUCCUGGGUUCAGUCCCCAUAGGGGUAAGUA
Podarcis lilfordi (Lilford's wall lizard) is the source of this 72-nucleotide non-coding RNA. Lineage: Eukaryota; Metazoa; Chordata; Lepidosauria; Squamata; Lacertidae. The record is from the annotation of a GenBank genome assembly.